ACCUCAUCUGCUUUGUGCAUUCCUGGAUCCCAAAGGCCGGCAUGGCCUGGCACCUAAGAGCUCCUCUUAGGACUACUCAUUCAUUCGACAGACAUUGAUGAGGCCACCGAUGUCACAGAGGAUUUGAAACCAACGCCCUAGAAGGAAAGGAACUGGAAGAAGGUGGCACAGCUGAAUUGUCACUUUGCUUUUUGGAAUAUGAAGUGUUGCACCAAGGCCAAAAACGUUCCCUUCUCAGUAAAGACAGAAGAAAGGCAGCA
This is a long non-coding RNA of Symphalangus syndactylus (siamang), 260 nucleotides long. RefSeq lists it as uncharacterized. NCBI's taxonomy places the organism in Eukaryota, Metazoa, Chordata, Mammalia, Primates, Hylobatidae. The record is from RefSeq and is a predicted model, not a curated record.